AUUAAAUUACUUUAAGUUUUUUAAAAUAUAAUUUAUAUAAUUAUAAAUUAUUAUUAUUAUUAUAUAUAUAUUUUUAUUAAUAUAUAAAAUUAUAAAUUACUUUUUAAGCUAAUAAAUUUAAUAUAUUAUAAUAUAUAUAAUAUUUUUAAAAUUAUAUAUUAUUAUUAAAUUAACUAGAUAUAAUUAUUAAUUAUAUUAUUAGUAAAUCCUGGUAGUUAACU
This 221-nucleotide transfer RNA is filed under the name Metarhizium anisopliae. RNAcentral describes it as "tRNA-Ile". The record is from RNAcentral. Lineage: Eukaryota; Fungi; Ascomycota; Sordariomycetes; Hypocreales; Clavicipitaceae.